RNAcentral lists this ribosomal RNA (496 nucleotides) under uncultured bacterium. RNAcentral describes it as "SSU rRNA". It matches the Rfam family "Bacterial small subunit ribosomal RNA", at positions 26 to 521 of the family's 1533-position model. The record is from RNAcentral.
AGGAUAAACGCUGGCGGCGUGCCUAACACAUGCAAGUCGAACGCUCUUUUCCUUCGCAAGAGGGGGAGGGAGUGGCGGACGGGUGAGGAACACAUGGGUGACCUACCUUUCAGUGAGGAAUACCGGCGAGAAAUCGCCGACAAGACCGCAUGAGCUUCUCUCGGUGAGCGAGGGAAGGAAAGCUCUUUUUCGCGAAAACGGAGAGGGGCGCUGGAAGAUGGGCCUGUGGCCGAUUAGCUAGUUGGUGAGGUAACGGCUCACCAAGGCGACGAUCGGUAGCUGGUCUGAGAGGACGAUCAGCCACACUGGGAUUGAGAACGGCCCAGACUCCUACGGGGGGCAGCAGUGAGGAAUUUUCCGCAAUGGGCGCAAGCCUGACGGAGCAACGCCGCGUGCAGGAAGACGGUUUUCGGAUCGUAAACUGCUUUUCUCGGGGACGAGAACGGACGGUACCCGAGGAAUCAGCCCCGGCUAACUACGUGCCAGCAGCCGCGGU